RNAcentral lists this ribosomal RNA (254 nucleotides) under uncultured bacterium. RNAcentral's name for it is "partial 16S ribosomal RNA". It matches the Rfam family "Bacterial small subunit ribosomal RNA", at positions 524 to 776 of the family's 1533-position model. The record is from RNAcentral.
UACGUAGGGGGCGAGCGUUGUCCGGAUUUAUUGGGCGUAAAGAGCUCGUAGGCGGUUCAGCAAGUCGACUGUGAAAACUCGAGGCUCAACCUCGAGACGCCAGUUGAUACUGCUGUGACUUGAGUUCGGUAGGGGAGCACGGAAUUCCUGGUGUAGCGGUGAAAUGCGCAGAUAUCAGGAGGAACACCGGUGGCGAAGGCGGUGCUCUGGGCCGAAACUGACGCUGAGGAGCGAAAGCGUGGGUAGCGAACAGG